CGUAGGGGGCGAGCGUUGUCCGGAAUUACUGGGCGUAAAGAGCAUGUAGGCGGGUAUUUAAGUCAGCUGUGAAAACUAUCGGCUCAACCGGUAGACUGCAGUUGAUACUGGAUAUCUUGAGGGUAUGAGAGGGCAGUGGAAUUCCUAGUGUAGCGGUGAAAUGCGUAGAUAUUAGGAGGAACACCAGUGGCGAAGGCGACUGCCUGGCAUACAACUGACGCUGAGAUGCGAAAGCGUGGGGAGCAAACAGGAUUAGAUACCCUGGUAGUCCACGCCGUAAACGAUGGGUACUAGGUGUAGGAGGUAUCGACCCCUUCUGUGCCGUAGUUAACACAUUAAGUACCCCGCCUGGGGAGUACGGCCGCAAGGUUG
This 372-nucleotide ribosomal RNA is filed under the name uncultured organism. Its description in RNAcentral is "bacterial SSU rRNA". It matches the Rfam family "Bacterial small subunit ribosomal RNA", at positions 526 to 896 of the family's 1533-position model. The record is from RNAcentral.